RNAcentral lists this ribosomal RNA (317 nucleotides) under Rhipicephalus sculptus. RNAcentral describes it as "partial small subunit ribosomal RNA". Lineage: Eukaryota; Metazoa; Arthropoda; Arachnida; Ixodida; Ixodidae. The record is from RNAcentral.
AUUGUAGUAUAUAAAAUAUAUGAAGCAAAAAAUUAUGGCGGUAUUUUAAGCUUUUCAGAGGAAUUUGCUCUUUAAUGGAUAAAACACCUAAAUCUUACUUAAAUUUGUUAAACCAAUUUGUAUACCACUAUUAAAAUAAUUAAUAACUUUAAUUAUUGAUAUUUAUUAUAAAUAAAAUAAAUUAAGUCAAGGUGCAGUAUAAAUUUAAGAAUGAAGUGAAUUACAUUACUUUUUAGAGAGAAAAUUGAAAUAAAGUUAGGAUUUGAAAGUAAAAUUAAAAUAGAAUGUUAAUUUGAAUUAAGCUCUAAAAUAUGUAC